Molecule: long non-coding RNA, 3283 nt
Filed under: Salvia miltiorrhiza (redroot sage)
Lineage: Eukaryota; Viridiplantae; Streptophyta; Magnoliopsida; Lamiales; Lamiaceae
Description: long non-coding RNA (SMIL_LNC000425)
Source: RNAcentral
GUUGAAAUUGUAAAAAAGGAUUAGAAAUGAUAUUUUAAUUGAAAUGGUUGAAAAUCAUAAAAUUGUGUAAAUUUUGUUGUGUUGGACAACUAUCCCUUUUCUUUUAUGUCUGUAUUUUUUAAGCAAAAAAAGAAGAAGAAGAAGGUAUAGUCAGUCGACGGCGAUGAUGAGGAAGCCGAGAGAGACAUACAUGAGCAAGACGGGGUAAAGGGCGAGAGCUUUCCUCUGUGGAUUCACAGCUGUGCUGAUGAAUGGAUAGGCAGCCCACGCGCUCCACGCCAGCGUCACGCCCACCGCCGCCAUCUUCACCAUCACCGGAGGCCUCAUCAUGCACACCAACGCCCCCACGUCAAGCGGCGCUAUGCAGUAACCUAGAAGGCUCAGGCUCUGGAAGAAGAUGAUGUGCCCGCCCUAUUCAACCAACAAUUCCUAUUAAUCAGCCAUCAAUUUAUCACUGCGCUGCUCUUCAAUUCGAUUCGAUUCGAUCAAUUACCAGAAGCAACACGUUCAAGGUGAGAAUCACGGCUCCCGCAGCAAGCACCGCGAACGCCACCGCAAACACUUGAGACUGCAAAAGCAAAUUAAACCAAUCAAUCAAAUCAGCACGCUUCCAUGGCUAGGGAUUCAGAAUCCGAGAUCUCACCUUCUGCACGGGCGAGGACCAGGAGAGCAUGAGGCCGAGGAAGAUGAUGAAGAAGAAGGGGCCCCACAGAUCCCAAUCCCUCAACGCCUUACCCGGAUCCUCUCGAUUAGGGUUGGGGAAGACGACCAGCUUCAAAUUGUUGACGAUCCGCCACAGAUCUCGCUUGAUCGUGUCCACCACGGGCUCUGUGAGAGUGUCUGCGGCGGCGUUACUGGUGUAGCCGCGCGGAGGCGGGGCGGGCGGGUUGGGGGCGUGGGGAGGGGCGCGGCCGAGGCUUGGCUGAGAUUGGAGGGCAUGAAUGCGGGGGGCGGCGGAGGGGCGGAGGACACCGGGAUGGAGGCGCGCGGCGGCGACGGGGGGCGGGCGGGGAGGACGGCGGUCGGGUACGAGUGGAUGAGGGUUUCGAUCUCGUCGAUGUCGGAUUGCGAGCUCGGAGGCAAUGUGGAUGGCUCGUUGUGGGACAUCGCGUCGGCUUUCCGGCGGUGGCGCGUUGCUUUUUAAAUUUUUGUAUUUUGUUUUUUUCUUCUUCUCUGUUUUUACCUUUUCCUUUUAACAAAAAAAAUAAUUUGACUGAGCACACUAGUAAACUAAAUUUAGUGAUAGAAUUAUAGAAACAUGAAUUUUUAUUACUAUUAUUAUUUUAUUCUUAUGAAUUUGGAUAUUGAUAACAUGUUAUUCAAAUUCAUCAUGUAAUUGUAAGUUUAGUAAAACAUCAAUUUAUUCUUCAAAAUUUGUAUAAAUAGAUGUUUCGAAAUAUUGGCACACCUUUAAUAGUCUUUGAUAUUUUUGGAACGUUUUAAAAGAACAAAAUUUCUUGUCUAGGAAUUGCUCAACAUGUUCUAAUUUUUNUUACCGGCACAACGGAGCUGAAAUUUAACGAAAUAAGAAGUGAUUAGUGCGCGUAAUGUUUACCUUAUCAACUUCCAUGGUAUGAUGGUAGAGUGAAAGAGGAGAGCGGCGGAAGUGAAAGUGAGUAUGCAGCGCUCAAGCAGAAACUAUGGAGCACAAAGCUUGCAACAAAACUCUCUCUCUCUCUAGGUUUAUGUUACUACUAAUACUUCCUCUAAUAGUAGAAAACUAGAAAUGUAAUUUUAAAUUAAAUGAUCAUAAAUUGAGUGGUUAUAAGUGCCUAAGUGGAGUGCGGAUCUAUUAAUGAUAAAUUUUAUAAAUAAUAAAAAGUUAAAAUUAAUAAAAUCUACGAGUUGAAUACUAGCAAGUUUGCGCUCGGCUCGUUUAAAUAUUCGGAUGUUCAAGCUCGAUUCGAGUUUUCAUAUUAUUGGUCGAGUUCGACUCGUCACCCAUUUACCGAGCUCGAGCUCGGUUCGUCGCCCACUUAUCAAGCUCGAUUCGGAUGGUGCUCGAUAAUAUUGAAUUCGAGCUUGAACUCGACUCGAUAAAAUUAUUGAGUUCGAACUCGGUUCGUUUACUAUCGAAUCGAGCUCCGAAUGAACAUUUUUCGAAUCAAAUUCCGAAUAGCUUGCGAGUAGCCCUGUUCAUUUACAACCCUACUUGCCAUUGUAUAUGAAUGUCUCAAAUUUUUCGUAAAUAGGUCGAAAACAAAAAUUGUGACAAAUUUUUCGUGGAGUAGUAUCUAUGCAUAUAAAUUAUUGAACUUUUAAAUAAUUUUUAUUUUACACAUUAAUUUUAAAAAUUGUAUUAAUUAUUUAAUUAUAUUUUUUUUUCUCAUUUUGCUAUGUCGCCUAUUUUUCGCCAAAUUUAAAGUUGAAGUGGUUGUAUGAAAUAAUUCUAUCUCACCCAAUUUUGCAAACAAACCUUGUUUUAAUAAUCGACAGAUUUAGACAUAUAAUAUUUCGAGGGAUCACUUUAGCACUAAAUUUAGCCGGAAAAUGAAUGAGAUAAUAAAAUAAAAAUAAUUGAGCAAUUUUAGUAGUAUAAUUUUAAAAUUAAUGUGUAGAAUCAAAAUUGUUUGAAUAUUUAAUAAUUUAUAUAUAAUUAACCUUUAGUAUACUAGCCAAAAAUCAGUAAAUAGGAUUGUAUUUUGGGAGAUUGUCUAAAAAAUCACAAAUUUUACGGUACGUAGUAAAUUCUACAUAAUUUAUUUAACCCACAUGCUCUCUCCGUCCCUCAAAUAUAUACUAGUAUAUUUUUUUAUAGUUGUCUUUAAAUGAUUUUCUAUUUAUUUUUUUAAAACACUACUCGAUCACUAAUAAUACACUAUUUAUUUAAUACUAGUAAAGCUACAAAAUGAUAUCGUUUCAGUACACAUUGGAUGAUGAUAAUAUGCAAGGAAAUUAUUUUGUAACGAUGUUUCCUUACGAAAAUUGAAUGACACUCUUUUCUUUAUUAAUUAUUAUACACAACAAAUACAAGAUCUUCUUGUUCAAAAAAUAGCUGACGUUAAAAUUGUAAAAAGGAUUGGAAAUUAUAUUUCAAUUGAAAUGGUUGAAAAUCAUAAAAUUGUGUAAAUUUUGUUGUGUUGGACAAUUAUCCAUUUUCUUUUAUGUUUGUAUUUUUUAAGCAAAAAAAGAAGAAGAAGAAGGUAUAGUCAGUCGACGGCGAUGAUGAGGAAGCCGAGAGAGACAUACAUGAGCAAGACGGGGUAAAGGGCGAGAGCUUUCCUCUGUGGAUUCACAGCUGUGCUGAUGAAUGGAUAGGCAGCCCACGCGCUCCACGCCAGCG